UACGUAGGGACCAAGCGUUGUUCGGAUUUACUGGGCGUAAAGCGCGCGUAGGCGGCCCGGUAAGUCCGCUCUGAAAGUCCAGGGCUCAACCCUGGAAAGCGGGUGGAUACUGCCGGGCUAGAAUCCGGAAGAGGCGAGUGGAAUUCCUGGUGUAGCGGUGGAAUGCGUAGAUAUCGGAAGGAACACCAAUGGCGAAGGCAGCCGCCUGGGCCUGAUCUGACACUGAGACACGAAAGCGUGGGGAUCAAACAGG
RNAcentral lists this ribosomal RNA (253 nucleotides) under uncultured bacterium. RNAcentral describes it as "partial 16S ribosomal RNA". It matches the Rfam family "Bacterial small subunit ribosomal RNA", at positions 524 to 776 of the family's 1533-position model. The record is from RNAcentral.